Molecule: ribosomal RNA, 405 nt
Filed under: uncultured bacterium
Lineage: Bacteria
Description: partial 16S ribosomal RNA
Rfam family: Bacterial small subunit ribosomal RNA
Source: RNAcentral
AUCGAACGCUGGCGGCAGGCUUAACACAUGCAAGUCGAACGAGUGGCGGACGGGUGAGUAAUGCUUGGGAAUCUGGCUUAUGGAGGGGGAUAACGACGGGAAACUGUCGCUAAUACCGCGUACAAUAGGAUGAGCCCAAGUGGGAUUAGGUAGUUGGUGGGGUAAGGGCCUACAAAGCCGACGAGCUCUAGCUGGUCUGAGAGGAUGACCGGCCACACCGGGACUGAGACACGGCCCGGACUCCUACGGGAGGCAGCAGUGGGGAAUAUUGCGCAAUGGGGGCAACCUGACGCAGCCAUGCCGCGUGAGUGAAGAAGGCCUGCGGGUUGUAAAGUUCUUUCGGUGACGAGGCGUUAAUCACAGAGAAAGCAACGGCUAACUCCGUGCCAGCAGCCGCGGUAAUAC